GGGAAUGUGGCUUAGUGGUAGAGUGCUUGACUUGCAUUCAUGAAGUCCUGGGUUCGAUUCCUUAGUACCA
Dipodomys ordii (Ord's kangaroo rat) is the source of this 70-nucleotide non-coding RNA. NCBI's taxonomy places the organism in Eukaryota, Metazoa, Chordata, Mammalia, Rodentia, Heteromyidae. The record is from Rfam.